UACGUAGGGGGCAAGCGUUGUCCGGAAUCAUUGGGCGUAAAGAGCGUGUAGGCGGUUCGGUAAGUCUGCUGUGAAAGUCCAGGGCUCAACCCUGGAAAGCCGGUGGAUACUGUCGGACUAGAGUGCGGAAGAGGCGAGUGGAAUUCCCGGUGUAGCGGUGAAAUGCGCAGAUAUCGGGAGGAACACCUAUUGCGAAGGCAGCUCGCUGGGACGUUACUGACGCUGAGACGCGAAAGCGUGGGGAGCGAACAGG
Molecule: ribosomal RNA, 253 nt
Filed under: uncultured bacterium
Lineage: Bacteria
Description: partial 16S ribosomal RNA
Rfam family: Bacterial small subunit ribosomal RNA
Source: RNAcentral